This 484-nucleotide ribosomal RNA is filed under the name uncultured bacterium. Its description in RNAcentral is "partial 16S ribosomal RNA". It matches the Rfam family "Bacterial small subunit ribosomal RNA", at positions 28 to 523 of the family's 1533-position model. The record is from RNAcentral.
GACGAACGCUGGCGGCGUGCUUAACACAUGCAAGUCGAACGAUGAAGCUGGAGCUUGCUCCGGUGGAUUAGUGGCGAACGGGUGAGUAACACGUGAGAAAUCUGCCCUUGACUCUGGGAUAACUGCGGGAAACUGUAGCUAAUACCGGAUAUUUUCCUUGGUGGGCAUCCACUGGGGAAGAAAGAAUUUCGGUCAAGGAUGAUCUCGCGGCCUAUGAGCUAGUUGGUGAGGUAAUGGCUCACCAAGGCGACGACGGGUAGCCGGCCUGAGAGGGGGGACGGCCACACUGGGACUGAGACACGGACCAGACUCCGACGGGAGGCAGCAGUAGGGAAUAUUGCACAAUGGGCGCAAGCCUGAUGCAGCAACGCCGCGUGAGGGAUGAAGGCCUUCGGGUUGUAAACCUCUUUUAGCAGGGAAGAAGCGAAAGUGACGGUACCUGCAGAAAAAGCACCGGCUAACUACGUGCCAGCAGCCGCGGUAA